RNAcentral lists this ribosomal RNA (497 nucleotides) under uncultured bacterium. RNAcentral's name for it is "partial 16S ribosomal RNA". It matches the Rfam family "Bacterial small subunit ribosomal RNA", at positions 28 to 507 of the family's 1533-position model. The record is from RNAcentral.
GAUGAACGCUGGCGGCGUGCCUAAUACAUGCAAGUCGAGCGAACAGACGAGGAGCUUGCUCCUCUGACGUUAGCGGCGGACGGGUGAGUAACACGUGGAUAACCUACCUAUAAGACUGGGAUAACUUCGGGAAACCGGAGCUAAUACCGGAUAAUAUAUUGAACCGCAUGGUUCAAUAGUGAAAGACGGUUUUGCUGUCACUUAUAGAUGGAUCCGCGCCGCAUUAGCUAGUUGGUAAGGUAACGGCUUACCAAGGCAACGAUGCGUAGCCGACCUGAGAGGGGGAUCGGCCACACGGGAACUGAGCCACGGUCCAGACUCCUACGGGAGGCAGCAGUAGGGAAUCUUCCGCAAUGGGCGAAAGCCUGACGGAGCAACGCCGCGUGAGUGAUGAAGGUCUUCGGAUCGUAAAACUCUGUUAUUAGGGAAGAACAAAUGUGUAAGUAACUAUGCACGUCUUGACGGUACCUAAUCAGAAAGCCACGGCUAACUACGUG